Polistes dominula (European paper wasp) is the source of this 696-nucleotide RNA transcript. It is a transcript of the gene named ribosomal protein S24, with no coding region annotated. Lineage: Eukaryota; Metazoa; Arthropoda; Insecta; Hymenoptera; Vespidae. The record is from RefSeq and is a predicted model, not a curated record.
CUUUUUAGGUUGGAACACUGUUAUGUUCUUUCUUAUAUUCCUUCGGAAGAAUAUUAUUAUACAAAAAUGACGGAAGCCACGAUCCGGACACGAAAAUUUAUGACAAACCGGCUAUUAUGCCGGAAACAAAUGGUAGUUGAUGUCCAUCAUCCUGGACAAGCUUCUGUACGAAAAACUGAGAUACGAGAAAAGUUAGCAAAAAUGUAUAAAGUAACACCAGAUGUUGUAUUUGUUUUUGGAUUUUUAACACACUUUGGUGGAGGUAAAUCCACUGGAUUUGCUUUAAUAUAUGACACCUUAGAUUUCGCUAAAAAGUUCGAACCAAAACAUAGGCUAGCAAGGCACGGCCUUUAUGAAAAGCAAAAGCUAACCCGAAAACAACGAAAAGAACGUAAAAAUAGAAUGAAGAAAGUUCGGGGUACUAAAAAAAGUAAAGUAGGAGCAGCUUCUAAGAAGGGGAGGAAGUAGACAAAUGCUCCUAAAUUUGCUCUACAAACCUCAAGAAGAAAUAGCCUCUUAUUCUGAUGUUUAUAUAUGUGAAUCCAUUACCACCAUCAUGAAGGCCACAAUAAUACCGGUAACAUCGUCGUAAAAAUUGUUUUAGUACAUUUGAACAUCAAUAUUAACAUGGUAACACUUAAGAACGAAUUUACGAAAUAAAAUUGUGAACUUCCUCAUUAAAAAGAUUAUUUUUCA